UCGGGAAUUUUGGGCAAUGGCGAAAGCCUGACCCAGCAACGCCGCGUGAGGGAUGAAGUAUUUCGGUAUGUAAACCUCGAAAGAAUGGGAAGAAUAAAUGACGGUACCAUUUAUAAGCUCCGGCUAACUACGUGCCAGCAGCCGCGGUAAUACGUAGGGAGCAAGCGUUGUUCGGAUUUACCGGGCGUAAAGGGCGCGUAGGCGGCGCGGUAAGUCACUUGUGAAAUCUCUGAGCUUAACUCAGAACGGCCAAGUGAUACUGCUGUGCUCGAGUGCGGAAGAGNCAACCGGAAUUCUUGGUGUAGCGGUGAAAUGCGUAGAUAUCAAGAGGAACACCUGAGGCGAAGGCGGGUCGCUGGGCCGACACUGACGCUGAUGCGCGAAAGCCAGGGGAGCAAACG
RNAcentral lists this ribosomal RNA (401 nucleotides) under uncultured bacterium. RNAcentral's name for it is "bacterial SSU rRNA". It matches the Rfam family "Bacterial small subunit ribosomal RNA", at positions 355 to 774 of the family's 1533-position model. The record is from RNAcentral.